This 327-nucleotide ribosomal RNA is filed under the name uncultured eukaryote. RNAcentral describes it as "partial 18S ribosomal RNA". It matches the Rfam family "Eukaryotic small subunit ribosomal RNA", at positions 1470 to 1796 of the family's 1831-position model. The record is from RNAcentral.
CCAUUAGAUGUUCUGGGCUGCACACGCGCUACACUGAAGGAGGCAGCGUGUACUCCUGGAUCGAAAGAUUUGGGUAACCCGCGAAUCUCCUUCGUGCUAGGGAUUGAGGUUUGCAAUUAUCCUUCAUGAACGAGGAAUUCCCAGUAAGUGCAAGUCAUAAGCUUGCGCUGACUACGUCCCUGCCCUUUGUACACACCGCCCGUCGCUACUACCGAUUGAAUGAUUUAGUGAGGACUUCGGACUGGGACCGAUGCGGCUUUCGGGCUGCGUCGGUAUUCUGGAAAGAUGUCCAAACUGUAUCAUUUAGAGGAAGUAAAAGUCGUAACA